Molecule: ribosomal RNA, 422 nt
Filed under: uncultured prokaryote
Description: bacterial SSU rRNA
Rfam family: Bacterial small subunit ribosomal RNA
Source: RNAcentral
UGAGGAAUAUUGGUCAAUGGGCGCAAGCCUGAACCAGCCAAUCCGCGUGCAGGAAGACGGCCCUAUGGGUUGUAAACUUCUUUUAUAGUAGAAUAAAGUGAUCCACGUGUGGAUUUUUGUAUGUAUACUAUGAAUAAGGAUCGGCUAACUCCGUGCCAGCAGCCGCGGUAAUACGGAGGAUCCGAGCGUUAUCCGGAUUUAUUGGGUUUAAAGGGUGCGUAGGCGGAAUAAUAAGUCAGUUGUGAAAGUUUGCGGCUCAACCGUAAAAUUGCAGUUGAUACUGUUAUUCUUGAGUGUACAUAAGGUAGGCGGAAUUCGUGGUGUAGCGGUGAAAUGCUUAGAUAUCACGAAGAACUCCAAUUGCGAAGGCAGCUUACCGGGGUACAACUGACGCUGAGGCACGAAAGUGUGGGUAUCAAACA